GCAGUCGACGCUUCUUUCCUCCGAGUGCUUGCACUCAAUUGGAAAGAGGAGUGGCGGACGGGUGAGUAACACGUGGGUAACCUACCCAUCAGAGGGGGAUAACACCUGGAAACAGGUGCUAAUACCGCAUAACAGUUUAUGCCGCAUGGCAUAAGAGUGAAAGGCGCUUUCGGGUGUCGCUGAUGGAUGGACCCGCGGUGCAUUAGCUAGUUGGUGAGGUAACGGCUCACCAAGGCCACGAUGCAUAGCCGACCUGAGAGGGUGAUCGGCCACACUGGGACUGAGACACGGCCCAGACUCCUACGGGAGGCAGCAGUAGGGAAUCUUCGGCAAUGGACGAAAGUCUGACCGAGCAACGCCGCGUGAGUGAAGAAGGUUUUCGGAUCGUAAAACUCUGUUGUUAGAGAAGAACAAGGACGUUAGUAACUGAACGUCCCCUGACGGUAUCUAACCAGAAAGCCACGGCUAACUACGUGCCAGCAGCCGCGGUAAUACGUAGGUGGCAAGCGUUGUCCGGAUUUAUUGGGCGUAAAGCGAGCGCAGGCGGUUUCUUAAGUCUGAUGUGAAAGCCCCCGGCUCAACCGGGGAGGGUCAUUGGAAACUGGGAGACUUGAGUGCAGAAGAGGAGAGUGGAAUUCCAUGUGUAGCGGUGAAAUGCGUAGAUAUAUGGAGGAACACCAGUGGCGAAGGCGGCUCUCUGGUCUGUAACUGACGCUGAGGCUCGAAAGCGU
This 731-nucleotide ribosomal RNA is filed under the name uncultured bacterium. Its description in RNAcentral is "bacterial SSU rRNA". It matches the Rfam family "Bacterial small subunit ribosomal RNA", at positions 57 to 762 of the family's 1533-position model. The record is from RNAcentral.